This 490-nucleotide ribosomal RNA is filed under the name uncultured bacterium. Its description in RNAcentral is "partial 16S ribosomal RNA". It matches the Rfam family "Bacterial small subunit ribosomal RNA", at positions 30 to 507 of the family's 1533-position model. The record is from RNAcentral.
AUUGAACGCUGGCGGCAGGCCUAACACAUGCAAGUCGAACGGUAACAGAAAGCAGCUUGCUGCUUUGCUGACGAGUGGCGGACGGGUGAGUAACGUCUGGGAAACUGCCUGAUGGAGGGGGAUAACUACUGGAAACGGUAGCUAAUACCGCAUAACGUCGCAAGACCAAAGAGGGGGACCUUCGGGCCUCUUGCCAUCGGAUGUGCCCAGAUGGGAUUAGCUUGUUGGUGGGGUAACGGCUCACCAAGGCGACGAUCCCUAGCUGGUCUGAGAGGAUGACCAGCCACACUGGAACUGAGACACGGUCCAGACUCCUACGGGAGGCAGCAGUGGGGAAUAUUGCACAAUGGGCGCAAGCCUGAUGCAGCCAUGCCGCGUGUAUGAAGAAGGCCUUCGGGUUGUAAAGUACUUUCAGCGGGGAGGAAGGGAGUAAAGUUAAUACCUUUGCUCAUUGACGUUACCCGCAGAAGAAGCACCGGCUAACUCCGUG